RNAcentral lists this non-coding RNA (165 nucleotides) under chicken gut metagenome. The record is from RNAcentral.
UGUUCCUUGCAAAAUUUGCAGGGCUAAGAUGGAAACGGGUGCAAAUCCCGUACGGAGCCGCCACUGUAAGCGUGGAAUCGUUUUUUUUACCUAAAGGUGGUCACUGGACGAAAGUUUGGGAAGACUAAAAAACGGUAAUGAUGCGCAAAGUCAGGAGACAUGCAU